UCCACACUGGAGCAGCCAGUUCCUGAAGGGACUGCACCCUGUGGAAAGACCCUGCUUGUAAAGAACUGUAGCUUGUGGGAAGGGCUCAGGUUGGAUAAGUUCAGGGAGGGCUGUCUCCCAUGAGGAGGACCCCAUGCUGGGGAAAGGGUUAGAGAAAAUCAGGAGUGAAGAGAAACUCAAGAAGAAAGGAGGAGUGAGGAGGGGAGUUAUAGAGUAACUUUGGUGGGACCCUACAGACCAGCCAGGGUCAGCACAUCACACAUGGAAUUGGGCUUUUCCUCGUUUCAUUCUCACAAUCCUGUGAUUUGCAAUCAGAGCCUGUGAGCAGCAGACAAGAGGAGUACUAUUGUCUUUGGUCUUCUCUCCCAGAACAAAGAUAAUGUUCUUGGGGCACUACUCUGAGUUCUCCUCUCCUUAGAUACCCAUUCUGUAGAAAACAAAUCAGCUUUUCAGCUCUUUCCAACUCAGCUGAAUGGUAUCAGCACACUCAACAGCUACAUACGGGUGUGACAGACGGCAACAGGGACAGGCAGUCCCCCAAACUCAGAUGAGAUAACUUGGUAACCAGUACUCCAGAAAUCUGAAGUGUUUAAAAUCUGAAAGUGGAUCCAAACUUUAUCUUAAGCCGUGCCUAAGGUAAAGAGAGACCAAGGUCUUGUUCUGCUUCUGCCUUCCCAUUUGGACCUCCGUGAGGCCUGAACAUGCACUCCUUUCUCUCGUGGGUUAUUUCUCAUGACUGCAGAAGCAGGCCAGCAGGAUUGCCCACUGCCUAAUUUGGAGAUGGACACUGUACAGGACUACACAUAUUUCAUAUCACGGACUGCUUUAAAACUUUUUUCUUGUUUGUUCUUGUAUUGCAGCUUCAAGAGCAUUUUACUUGAACUCAGAAUUAAACAAAAACAUUUCUUCCUGUCCUUUCCCACCUGAAAGAUGACUGCUGCUCUCACUUUGAGGAGCCAUGACAGGAGAAGGAGUUAAAAAUCUCAUGCUGUUUUCUGGCCAGUACCUUCUUAAGUAUGUCACCCCUCCCCACGCACACAGGAGUUGCACUGCCCUCUCCCUGGAUGGUUCCACAUAUCUGUUCUCUGAAGUUACAGAGAUGGGAAUGAUUUUCCUCAACAUGAAAUACUGUAUAAAGAGUGUGGGUGGGAAAUAUGCAGUGUAAUGGAACUGAAACCCCAUAAGGGAAAUCAACGCAGGCAGCUGCUGAUACACUAUUUACUUGGAUAAAUCGUCCAUUUUUCUCCCAGGCCAGAUGACUUGAGGUAUCACCUACCCAGGAUGGCAAGUGCAAAUAUAAAUAAUAAAUAAAACUAACUGAGGAAGAA
Molecule: long non-coding RNA, 1328 nt
Organism: Vidua macroura (Pin-tailed whydah)
Lineage: Eukaryota; Metazoa; Chordata; Aves; Passeriformes; Viduidae
Exons: 6
Source: RefSeq, a predicted model, not a curated record